GCAGGAUGAGACACUUGCAAAAAAAAAGUCAGGAUGACAAUUUAGGUAAAAAAAAGUCAGGAUAAACUAAAAAAAAAAAAAAAAAGGCAGGACAGAAUAGAGUGAAAAAGAAAAAGGCAGGACAGAGAUUACAACUAAAAAAAAUGCAGGACAAAAUUUUUCAUCCUAGCCCCCCCAUAAAAAUCAAAUGGUAGCUCCCUUAA
Molecule: long non-coding RNA, 203 nt
Filed under: Mytilus galloprovincialis (Mediterranean mussel)
Lineage: Eukaryota; Metazoa; Mollusca; Bivalvia; Mytilida; Mytilidae
Source: RNAcentral